RNAcentral lists this ribosomal RNA (264 nucleotides) under Salmonella enterica. RNAcentral's name for it is "partial 16S ribosomal RNA". It matches the Rfam family "Bacterial small subunit ribosomal RNA", at positions 1 to 261 of the family's 1533-position model. The record is from RNAcentral. Lineage: Bacteria; Pseudomonadati; Pseudomonadota; Gammaproteobacteria; Enterobacterales; Enterobacteriaceae.
AAAUUGAAGAGUUUGAUCAUGGCUCAGAUUGAACGCUGGCGGCAGGCCUAACACAUGCAAGUCGAACGGUAACAGGAAGCAGCUUGCUGCUUCGCUGACGAGUGGCGGACGGGUGAGUAAUGUCUGGGAAACUGCCUGAUGGAGGGGGAUAACUACUGGAAACGGUAGCUAAUACCGCAUAAUGUCGCAGGACCAAAGAGGGGGACCUUCGGGCCUCUUGCCAUCAGAUGUGCCCAGAUGGGAUUAGCUUGUUGGUGAGGUAAC